CAGCGACCCCAGGUCAGGCGGGGCUACCCGCUGAGUUUAAGCAUAUCAAUAAGC
Molecule: ribosomal RNA, 54 nt
Filed under: Hoya meliflua
Lineage: Eukaryota; Viridiplantae; Streptophyta; Magnoliopsida; Gentianales; Apocynaceae
Description: partial 26S ribosomal RNA
Source: RNAcentral